CAGAUUCUCUGGUGUCUCGGAGAGGCUCUAUUCUCUGACAGUGUAAUCAUGAAGCCAUUAUUUGUAUCCCUUCUCCUGCUGGCCGCCCCAUCGUGGGUCCUGUCACAAGUGCAGCUGGUGGAGUCAGGGCCUGGGACUGUAAAACCCUCAGAGACUCUCAGCCUCACCUGCUCCAUCUCAGGCGCCUCCUCAGACACUCUGGGCAGUAGUUGUUGCUGGUGGCACUGGAUCCGGCAGAGUCCCGGGAAAGGGCUGGAAUGGAUGGGGCAUAUAGCUCAAGGGGGAAGCACAAACUACGCCACUUCCCUCCAGGGUCGCAUCACCAUCUCGGUGAACCCUUCCAAGAACCAGUUCUCCCUGCAGCUCCGCUCGCUGACAGCUGCAGACACCGCCACGUAUUACUGCGCCAGACACACAGUGACACAGAGCAGAAAGGGGAACGUUCACUCCCCUGGCCAUUAUUAUCACGGGACAGGGGCUGUCACCUCAGAGAACCGAAAUGGGUGA
Trachemys scripta elegans is the source of this 507-nucleotide non-coding RNA. The record is from the annotation of a RefSeq genome assembly. NCBI's taxonomy places the organism in Eukaryota, Metazoa, Chordata, Testudines, Emydidae.